RNAcentral lists this ribosomal RNA (1506 nucleotides) under metagenome. RNAcentral's name for it is "bacterial SSU rRNA". It matches the Rfam family "Bacterial small subunit ribosomal RNA". The record is from RNAcentral.
AGAGUUUGAUCAUGGCUCAGGACGAACGCUGGCGGCGUGCCUAAUACAUGCAAGUAGAACGCUGAAGAGAGGAGCUUGCUCUUCUUGGAUGAGUUGCGAACGGGUGAGUAACGCGUAGGUAACCUGCCUUGUAGCGGGGGAUAACUAUUGGAAACGAUAGCUAAUACCGCAUAACAAUGGAUGACACAUGUCAUUUAUUUGAAAGGGGCAAUUGCUCCACUACAAGAUGGACCUGCGUUGUAUUAGCUAGUAGGUGAGGUAAUGGCUCACCUAGGCGACGAUACAUAGCCGACCUGAGAGGGUGAUCGGCCACACUGGGACUGAGACACGGCCCAGACUCCUACGGGAGGCAGCAGUAGGGAAUCUUCGGCAAUGGGGGCAACCCUGACCGAGCAACGCCGCGUGAGUGAAGAAGGUUUUCGGAUCGUAAAGCUCUGUUGUAAGUCAAGAACGGGUGUGAGAGUGGAAAGUUCACACUGUGACGGUAGCUUACCAGAAAGGGACGGCUAACUACGUGCCAGCAGCCGCGGUAAUACGUAGGUCCCGAGCGUUGUCCGGAUUUAUUGGGCGUAAAGCGAGCGCAGGCGGUUUGAUAAGUCUGAAGUUAAAGGCUGUGGCUCAACCAUAGUUCGCUUUGGAAACUGUCAAACUUGAGUGCAGAAGGGGAGAGUGGAAUUCCAUGUGUAGCGGUGAAAUGCGUAGAUAUAUGGAGGAACACCGGUGGCGAAAGUGGCUCUCUGGUCUGUAACUGACGCUGAGGCUCGAAAGCGUGGGGAGCGAACAGGAUUAGAUACCCUGGUAGUCCACGCCGUAAACGAUGAGUGCUAGGUGUUGGAUCCUUUCCGGGAUUCAGUGCCGCAGCUAACGCAUUAAGCACUCCGCCUGGGGAGUACGACCGCAAGGUUGAAACUCAAAGGAAUUGACGGGGGCCCGCACAAGCGGUGGAGCAUGUGGUUUAAUUCGAAGCAACGCGAAGAACCUUACCAGGUCUUGACAUCCCGAUGCUAUUUCUAGAGAUAGAAAGUUACUUCGGUACAUCGGUGACAGGUGGUGCAUGGUUGUCGUCAGCUCGUGUCGUGAGAUGUUGGGUUAAGUCCCGCAACGAGCGCAACCCCUAUUGUUAGUUGCCAUCAUUCAGUUGGGCACUCUAGCGAGACUGCCGGUAAUAAACCGGAGGAAGGUGGGGAUGACGUCAAAUCAUCAUGCCCCUUAUGACCUGGGCUACACACGUGCUACAAUGGUUGGUACAACGAGUUGCGAGUCGGUGACGGCGAGCUAAUCUCUUAAAGCCAAUCUCAGUUCGGAUUGUAGGCUGCAACUCGCCUACAUGAAGUCGGAAUCGCUAGUAAUCGCGGAUCAGCACGCCGCGGUGAAUACGUUCCCGGGCCUUGUACACACCGCCCGUCACACCACGAGAGUUUGUAACACCCGAAGUCGGUGAGGUAACCUUUUGGAGCCAGCCGCCUAAGGUGGGACAGAUGAUUGGGGUGAAGUCGUAACAAGGUA